This 171-nucleotide ribosomal RNA is filed under the name Mycolicibacterium arabiense. RNAcentral's name for it is "partial 16S ribosomal RNA". It matches the Rfam family "Bacterial small subunit ribosomal RNA", at positions 1 to 175 of the family's 1533-position model. Lineage: Bacteria; Bacillati; Actinomycetota; Actinomycetes; Mycobacteriales; Mycobacteriaceae. The record is from RNAcentral.
CCGUUCAGAGUUUGAUACCUGGCUCAGGACGAACGCUGGCGGCGUGCUUAACACAUGCAAGUCGAACGGAAAGGCCCUUCGGGGUACUCGAGUGGCGAACGGGUGAGUAACACGUGGGUGAUCUGCCCUGCACUUUGGGAUAAGCCUGGAAACUGGGUCUAAUACCGAAUA